GUCCACGCCGUAAACGGUGGGCACUAGGUGUGGGGGACUUCCACGUUCUCCGUGCCGAAGCUAACGCAUUAAGUGCCCCGCCUGGGGAGUACGGCCGCAAGGCUAAAACUCAAAGGAAUUGACGGGGGCCCGCACAAGCGGCGGAGCAUGUUCAUUAAUUCGAUGCAACGCGAAGAACCUUACCUAGGUUUGACAUAUACCGGAAACACCUGGAGACAGGUGCCCCGCAAGGUCGGUAUACAGGUGGUGCAUGGCUGUCGU
RNAcentral lists this ribosomal RNA (261 nucleotides) under uncultured bacterium. Its description in RNAcentral is "partial 16S ribosomal RNA". It matches the Rfam family "Bacterial small subunit ribosomal RNA", at positions 793 to 1055 of the family's 1533-position model. The record is from RNAcentral.